Molecule: ribosomal RNA, 301 nt
Filed under: uncultured bacterium
Lineage: Bacteria
Description: partial 16S ribosomal RNA
Rfam family: Bacterial small subunit ribosomal RNA
Source: RNAcentral
CAGUAGCCGCGGUAAUACGUAGGGUGCAAGCGUUAUCCGGAAUUAUUGGGCGUAAAGAGCUCGUAGGCGGUUUGUCGCGUCUGCUGUGAAAACUGGAGGCUCAACCUCCAGCCUGCAGUGGGUACGGGCAAACUAGAGUGCGGUAGGGGAGAUUGGAAUUCCUGGUGUAGCGGUGGAAUGCGCAGAUAUCAGGAGGAACACCGAUGGCGAAGGCAGAUCUCUGGGCCGUAACUGACGCUGAGGAGCGAAAGCAUGGGGAGCGAACAGGAUUAGAUACCCCCGUAGUCCCUGUCUCUUAUAA